This 329-nucleotide unclassified non-coding RNA is filed under the name soil metagenome. Its description in RNAcentral is "partial contains 5.8S ribosomal RNA, internal transcribed spacer 2, and large subunit ribosomal RNA". The stretch from base 1 to 120 matches the Rfam family "5.8S ribosomal RNA", at positions 35 to 154 of the family's 154-position model. The record is from RNAcentral.
GAUGAAGAACGUAGCGAAAUGCGAUAAGUAAUGUGAAUUGCAGAAUUCAGUGAAUCAUCGAAUCUUUGAACGCACAUUGCGCCCUCUGGUAUUCCGGGGGGCAUGCCUGUUCGAGCGUCAUUAUAACCACUCAAGCUCUCGCUUGGCAUUGGGGUUCGCGGUUCCGCGGCCCCUAAAAUCAGUGGCGGUGCCUGUCGGCUCUACGCGUAGUAAUACUCCUCGCGAUUGAGUCCGGUAGGUCUACUUGCCAGCAACCCCCAAUUUUUACAGGUUGACCUCGGAUCAGGUAGGGAUACCCGCUGAACUUAAGCAUAUCAAUAAGCGGAGGA